Molecule: ribosomal RNA, 604 nt
Filed under: Metarhizium rileyi
Lineage: Eukaryota; Fungi; Ascomycota; Sordariomycetes; Hypocreales; Clavicipitaceae
Description: eukaryotic LSU rRNA
Rfam family: Eukaryotic large subunit ribosomal RNA
Source: RNAcentral
AUAUCAAUAAGCGGAGGAAAAGAAACCAACAGGGAUUGCCCCAGUAACGGCGAGUGAAGCGGCAACAGCUCAAAUUUGAAAUCUGGUCCCCAGGGCCCGAGUUGUAAUUUGCAGAGGAUGCUUUUGGCGAGGCGCCUUCCGAGUUCCCUGGAACGGGACGCCAUAGAGGGUGAGAGCCCCGUCUGGUUGGAUGCCGAGCCUCUGUAAAGCUCCUUCGACGAGUCGAGUAGUUUGGGAAUGCUGCUCUAAAUGGGAGGUAUAUGUCUUCUAAAGCUAAAUACCGGCCAGAGACCGAUAGCGCACAAGUAGAGUGAUCGAAAGAUGAAAAGCACUUUGAAAAGAGGGUUAAAUAGUACGUGAAAUUGUUGAAAGGGAAGCGCUUAUGACCAGACUUGGGCCCGGUGAAUCAUCCAGCGUUCUCGCUGGUGCACUUUGCCGGGCUCAGGCCAGCAUCAGUUUGCCCCGGGGGAUAAAGGCUUUGGGAAUGUGGCUCCCUCGGGAGUGUUAUAGCCCAUUGCACAAUACCCUGGGGCGGACUGAGGUUCGCGCAUCUGCAAGGAUGCUGGCGUAAUGGUCAUCAGCGACCCGUCUUGAAACACGGACC